This is a non-coding RNA of Aedes aegypti (yellow fever mosquito), 99 nucleotides long. The record is from Rfam. NCBI's taxonomy places the organism in Eukaryota, Metazoa, Arthropoda, Insecta, Diptera, Culicidae.
UGCCCAGCAACUCCUAUCCCUACCUCCUAGCGGUACUGUCCGGGGUACGAGUAACCUUAGGGAAGAUCGGGAACUUUGGUCGUAUGCUGACAGGGAAGG